UGUCCCUUUGGGAAUGCUUAGCGCCUAGACCUGCUUGAGCCUAUGACCUUCAGUAUUGCCUCUUGGACUUCAGGGAACAGGAGAGGAUACAAAAGCCAGCAGAGGCUGACAGAGGAGUGAGAUUUGAGUAGGAUGAGGACAGGGUCCAGGAGGCAGACGAGUAGGGUCAGAGAGUAGGGUUACAGAAGACAGUUGGUGAAAAAAAGAGAUUGAGCAGAGUUAAAAUUGAAGAGAGUCGAGCCAGCAGAAGCUGGGCCGAGCCAUAGAAGACAUUGUUAGGAGACAGUUAGGAGAACACCCAGGAAGUAGAGUGGAGAAUAAAAAGAAGAAGCUACAUGGUACUUUAUGAGAUUAAAAGGUUUUUGUACUGCAAAGGAUAACUCUUAAAUAACUGAAGAGGCAGUCCACAGAGUGGGAUUUUCUUUUUUCUUUUUUCUUUUUUUGCCAUCUGCACAUUUGUAACGGAUUAAUAUCUAGAAUAUGCAAGGCAUCAAGAAACUGUAAGCCCUAGGAAAACAGACAACCAAAUUGAAAAAGGGCUAUGGAACUGAAUAGAGAGUUCUCAGAAGAAGAAAGGCAAUUGGAUAAAGAAAUAUUUUUAAAACUGUUCACCAUCCUUAGCCAUCAGUGCAAAAUGGUUAAAGCUGAAACUCUGGUCAAGGAAGAAAAAGCAGAAAGAUUGUAAAAUUCAACAAUCAGGGAAGAUCACAGAAAAACAGCUUCUGGAUGAGACAAGGGACAACCAGCACCCUGCCUUCCUUGCUCAGCACUCUCUAUGUGAAACUGGCUAUAAUUCUUCUCAUCAUAGGAUUUGCUUUCUUCCAGAAGAGAAAUUAUUUCAGGUCCCAGAGCUAAACUGAGCCAUGGAUGACACUGAAGAUGAGAAGUCCUAAAUGAAGUGUAAAAGAGGAACAAUGGAAGGACUUGGGCCUGAUGACCAUAGAGUUGCCCCACCAGCUGUAGACCAUCUAUUAUCUGUUGUCUUAAUGUGAUGGACAGGGACAGUAAACUAUGUUUUUCACACCA
This is a long non-coding RNA of Mastomys coucha (southern multimammate mouse), 1026 nucleotides long. RefSeq lists it as uncharacterized. NCBI's taxonomy places the organism in Eukaryota, Metazoa, Chordata, Mammalia, Rodentia, Muridae. The transcript is spliced from 4 exons. The record is from RefSeq and is a predicted model, not a curated record.